UGUACUGAAGUGUUAGGCAGGUGGGCCAGG
RNAcentral lists this non-coding RNA (30 nucleotides) under Mus musculus (house mouse). Lineage: Eukaryota; Metazoa; Chordata; Mammalia; Rodentia; Muridae. The record is from RNAcentral.